UAGGAAGUAGUGUAGCGGAAGCACCAGGAGUUUUGAUCUCUUGAGGAUGGGUUCGAUUCCCUUUUUCCUAA
RNAcentral lists this transfer RNA (71 nucleotides) under Enchelycore pardalis (leopard moray eel). RNAcentral describes it as "tRNA-Gln". It matches the Rfam family "tRNA". From Rfam's summary of the family: Transfer RNA (tRNA) molecules are approximately 80 nucleotides in length. Their secondary structure includes four short double-helical elements and three loops (D, anti-codon, and T loops). The record is from RNAcentral. Lineage: Eukaryota; Metazoa; Chordata; Actinopteri; Anguilliformes; Muraenidae.